CACAUCAUCCCAACAAAAGGAUGCCUUCAGUGACCCGCUGGAGCCCUCUAGAGUUUAGAUCCAGUCUGACUCCAGAUGGAGGCCAGGAAAUGAAAGAGGAAGUCUGGUUGCAUGGAUGUUGGUCUCCAUGGAUACACCACAACAAAUCAGCACCGAGGCAGAGAUUUAGCAGAAGCGACGGAGGCGUAUUUUUAAACUGUUUAGAGUUCAGUUUCCGAGUUCUCUGAGGUUGUUAAUCCUGACUGAGCGGAGGCCAUGUACAGAGUUUCCUCGUCGGUUAAAGUGAAGCAGAUGGAGGCAGAGCUGUCGCAUCAACUCGCAGCUCUCAGGGCGGAAAUCGAGGAGAAUGGGUUUCCACGAGGAGCAGGGACGGCCAACUCUUACAGCUCUGUUCCACCUCCCAAAGAUGUUUCCUUCUUUCGUCUGGAGAGGGAACAUGCACUGAGGAGGGAGCUGCAGGUGGCUGAAGCUUCGCGGGUUCAGUCUGCGGCUGACGUCAUGCAGGAAGAGCUGCAGAGCUGCUGGAGUUUAGAAUACAGUCCUGAAAAUCUGCUGCUUCUGCUGCACCAGUUCUUCAUGGACAGAUCGUAUCACCUGGCUCAGAUCAAAUAUCAACUCAUGCUGAGAUGGAGGAGAUUCUGUCGCCACACCGGCGUCAUCGAGAAGCUUUAUCCUCAUUACAAGACCAAAGAACUACAGACUCUUCACAACCUGCUCAAACUCUUGGUACAGGACCUCACCACACGGGUCAAGAAGGUGAAACCCAGACGAGAUCCAUGGCAGCAGAAGCUCCUCACACAGCUGAAGGAAAAGAAAUCAGCCGAUGAGCUGCUGAAGAUGCACAGCAGGUUUCUACAGGUCUCUGAUCUGCUUCAUGUAGCUGCAGCUUUAAAACAACAAGCAGCUCAUGUUGGAGACUCACAAUCAUCAUCACACAACAGCAGGACAAAACAUGAAAAGAUCUCUGAGAUCUGGACGAGCGUUUACAGUGCUGCCAGUCUUUCUCCCGCAGCGUAACAGACAAAAGCCGCGAUUCCACAAGCAUCUACUCGGCGCGGUACGGUUCGCCACUAUUGUAUCUGACUCGGCUCGUCUCGGUUUAGUUGUUUUUCCAUAUAGCCUCAUCGUGGGU
Amphiprion ocellaris (clown anemonefish) is the source of this 1132-nucleotide long non-coding RNA. The record is from Ensembl. Lineage: Eukaryota; Metazoa; Chordata; Actinopteri; Pomacentridae.